AUGGAGCCUGCCUUAGUCCUCAGGUGGAACUGUGCCACUGACACUCUUAGCUACCAGUACCAGCUCAUCAAGCACACAGCACUGACAAUGAGAACAGCAUAUCAAGUACUGGCCAGUCAGUAUGACCCUUUGGGGUUCAUCGUGCCAUUCACAACACGCACCAAGGUGCUCAUCCAGCAGCUCUGGUCCAGGCAGAGAGGAUGGGACGACCCCAACCUACCUUCAGCUCUCCAACAUGCCUGGGAGAUGUGGGAGAAUGAGCUGCAACAUCACAGUGAAGUUUCAUUCCCCCGCUGCUACUUGCCAGUAUCUGUAGCAGACACAAACAUGGUGUAUGACCUACAUGUCUUUUGUGAUGCCUCCGAACGGGCAUAUGGGGCAGUAGCUUACCUCACAGUUUGUGUCGGAGACACCAUUCACUCCACCUUUGUGAUGGCUAGGUCAAGAGUUACCCCUAAGAGACAACAGUCUAUGCCCCGCUUGGAACUCUGUGCUGCAUUAGCUGGAGCUCAACUGUCCAAGCUCAUAGAGACGGAAACAACCCUCACCAUCCAGCAGACAACCCUGUGGUCGGACUCCACUACAGUACUGGAGUGGCUCCAAUCAGACUCUUGCAGAUACAAGGUAUUUGUAGGAACCUGCGUGUCAGAGAUACAAGAGCUGACUGACCGACAGGCUUGGCAGUAUGUCGACACCCAUAACAAUCCUGCUGACGACAUUACCAGGGGUAAGCCACUCUUGGCUCUGGCUGGGCUUAAUCGUUGGAGCCAAGGGCCCCCAUUCCAGAGUGCUGAACACUGGCCAAAGAGGCCGGAGCAAGCGACAGCAGGUUCAUCAGAGUUGAAGGGCACCACCUUCUGCAGCUUCACAGUGGUAGAACCCAAAAUCAGUAUUCCCGAUGCCUCCCAGUUCAACACAUGGAAGGAGCUGGUGGAAGCAACCCAGAAGGCAUGUCAGGGUGCUCAAGGGGCGGCAGUGGAUAGCCAUCCCAUUAGUCACAGAGACGCAGAGAUCCUAUUGUUGAGAGGGUGUCAAGUCCAAAGCUUUCCAGAAGAAGUUAAUGCCCUCACAGCACAAAAACCUGUGCCAAACCACAGUCAUCUGGCCAGCCUUGCUCCAGAGUGGGACUCCUCAACAUGUAUCCUCCGAGUGGGAGGGAGGCUGCGCAGGCUGCAGGACUCGAGCAUAGGAGAGAUUCAUCCCAUUGUGUUGGAUCCGAAGCAACCCGCAACCAAGCUCCUCAUAAAGGACAUGGAUGAACGUCUGUUGCACCCUGGCACAGAGCGGGUGUUUGCAGAACUGCGAAGACAGUACUGGAUCUUGCGAGGACGGCAGGCUGUCAGACACCACCAACUCAACUGCCCAUCCUGCCAGCGAUGGAGAGCUCAGCCAAAGGUCCCAUGGAUGGUCCCACCCUUUUACUCAACAGGUGUGGACUGUUUUGGACCUUACCUAGUCAAGAUUGGUAGGAGAACAGAAAAGUAUUGGGGUAGCAUCUUCAAGUGCCUCACGACCCGUGCUGUUCACAUUGAACUCCUCAACUCCAUGGAUGUGGAUGCCUUCCUCCUUGCUCUUCAUCGGUUCAUCGCCAGACGUGGCCGACCAAAGGAUAUUCUGUCAGACUGCGGUACUAACUUCCGCGGUGCUGCACAGGAACUCCGCAGAGUCUUUGCAGCCAUAGAACCACAGUUGAAAGAACAACUGACAGAAAAUCAGAUUGUCUUCAGGUUCAACCCACCAAACGCUCCUCACUUUGGUGGUGCAUGGGAGAGGGAAGUCCGUUGA
Molecule: long non-coding RNA, 1785 nt
Filed under: Dicentrarchus labrax (European seabass)
Lineage: Eukaryota; Metazoa; Chordata; Actinopteri; Moronidae
Description: lncRNA (ENSDLAG00005031177.1)
Source: RNAcentral